UAUUUGCUGGCGACCGGCGCACGGGUGCGUAACACGUAUACAAUCUGCCUUUACAGGGGGAUAGCCCGGAGAAAUCCGGAUUAAUACCCCAUAAUAGAUCGAAUGGCAUCAUUUGAUUUUGAAAGCUCCGGCGGUUAAAGAUGAGUAUGCGUCUGAUUAGCUAGUUGGUGAGGUAACGGCUCACCAAGGCGACGAUCAGUAGGGGAUCUGAGAGGAUUAACCCCCACACGGAUACUGAGACACGGAUCCGACUCCUACGGGAGGCAGCAGUAAGGAAUAUUGGACAAUGCCCGCAAGGGUGAUCCAGCCAUGCCGCGUGCAGGAAGACGGCCCUAUGGGUUGUAAACUGCUUUUACACCGGAGAAAACCUCCCCUCGUGAGGGGAGCUGAUAGUAUGGUGAGAAUAAGCAUCGGCUAACUUCGUGCCAGCAGCCGCGGUAAGACGAAGGAUGCAAGCGUUAUCCGGAUUCAUUGGGUUUAAAGGGAGCGUAGGUGGCCCUAUAAGUCAGUGGUGAAAUCUCUGGGCUUAACCCAGGAAUUGCCAUUGAUACUGUAGGGCUUGAGUACAGUUGCUGUGGGCGGAAUAUGACAUGUAGUGGUGAAAUACAUAGAGAUGUCAUAGAACACCGAUUGCGAAGGCAGCUCACAAAACUGUAACUGACACUGAGGCUCGAAAGUGCGGGGAUCAAACAGGAUUAGAUACCCUGGUAGUCCGCACCGUAAACGAUGAUUACUCGCUGCUAGAGGGCAACUUUUAGUGGCUUAGCGAAAGCGAU
RNAcentral lists this ribosomal RNA (776 nucleotides) under uncultured bacterium. Its description in RNAcentral is "bacterial SSU rRNA". It matches the Rfam family "Bacterial small subunit ribosomal RNA", at positions 81 to 861 of the family's 1533-position model. The record is from RNAcentral.